Molecule: ribosomal RNA, 253 nt
Filed under: uncultured bacterium
Lineage: Bacteria
Description: partial 16S ribosomal RNA
Rfam family: Bacterial small subunit ribosomal RNA
Source: RNAcentral
UACGUAGGGUGCGAGCGUUAAUCGGAAUUACUGGGCGUAAAGGGCUCGUAGGCGGCCAACUAAGUCGGAUGUGAAAUCCCCAGGCUUAACCUGGGAACUGCAUCCGAUACUGGAUGGCUUGAAUCCGGGAGAGGGAUGCGGAAUUCCAGGUGUAGCGGUGAAAUGCGUAGAUAUCUGGAGGAACACCGGUGGCGAAGGCGGCAUCCUGGACCGGCAUUGACGCUGAGGAGCGAAAGCCAGGGGAGCAAACGGG